RNAcentral lists this small RNA (744 nucleotides) under Pongo abelii (Sumatran orangutan). Its description in RNAcentral is "processed transcript". The record is from RNAcentral. Lineage: Eukaryota; Metazoa; Chordata; Mammalia; Primates; Hominidae.
AUGGCUGACAGAAAAACAGACUGGCAGGGAAGAUAACUGGGUUAUGAUUACUUAGUGUAGAUGAGAGUUUGAUAGAACAUCAGCUGCCCACUUCAGAAUCACUUGACAUGCUUCAUAAAAUGCCAGUUCUUUAGCCUUUUCUAGGAUGGACUUAAACAUUUGACAUUUUGAACAUAGGAACUCGGAAUCUACAUUUUUAAUAGGUCUCAUAGCUAAUUCGCACUUUUACUGAUAUUUGAGAACUGGGAGUCAAGGUGAUGCUCUUUUUUCAAAAGCAGUAUUGGCUAGGGUCAUAGCAGUGCUGGUUAGUGAAGCCCAAGCAUGUCAUGCUGCUAUCAACUCACAGCCUGAAUAUGCCAAUAUUUGCUUUUGGUACAUUCCACCGAGCCUCAGAGAGAUGGAAGAAGGACCCGAGUUCUGGGCAAAACUUAAUUUGGUGGCCCCAGCCAUUAAGGAGAGGAUGAUGAAGAAGGGAAGCUUGAUGCUGGGCUACCAGCCGCACCGGGGAAAGGUCAACUUCUUCCGCCAGGUGGUCAUCAGCCCUCAAGUGAGCCGGGAGGACAUGGACUUCCUCCUGGAUGAGAUAGACUUACUGGGUAAAGACAUGUAGCUGUGGCUUUGGUCCCCCAGAGGCAUAGAUCCUGUCCUGGGAGAGUUUAGAUCCAGAACAUCUUGGAGAUACACAGUAGAUUGCAGCCCUUCUGAUGAGAAAUAGGAAAUACUCCCAGUCCAGGCCCAGCAAAA